Long non-coding RNA from Aricia agestis (brown argus), 75 nucleotides. RefSeq lists it as uncharacterized. The record is from RefSeq and is a predicted model, not a curated record. Lineage: Eukaryota; Metazoa; Arthropoda; Insecta; Lepidoptera; Lycaenidae. The transcript has 3 exons.
ACAAAAUGGCCCACAGUGGCCCACUGCAGGCCAUCGUGAACUGUAGACCACGAUCACUUUAUGUUGAUCUAUCAA